AAAGGAGUUUAUUCAGGCCAGUAUGAAAGAUGAUCCUCUAUCGCAGAACAAUUUUAACCCAUUCCAUCUUGUAGAGAAUAAAAAAAUAUUGAAGAAUCGCGAGAGAAACUCCCCAAAAUCCACUGGGAUCACAUCGAAAAGUGCAAAUAAAAAUUGCCAAAAAAUGAGAAACAUUCCGUCGCCAUUUGCAAUUUUUGUCGCUCAAAAUGUUUCAAAACAUUCUCUGUCACUUUUGUUGCGCUUAUGGCGCUGAGUUUUUUUUUUCAUAAAAUCAAUGAAAAUUGCCGAUUUUGGUGAUAAAUGUUUAUUGUUUCCGUGUGGGAGUGAUUUUUAAGGAUUUGUAGGCAUCUCAAUCAGGUACAUCGUGCUGGAUGAGCCCCAAUUUGGCGCUGGGUCUGUGAACCUUCCUCAGCUGCUUCACUAGAAUCCUCUUUUCGCUGGUGCUGCAUUCACUCAUUCAUACACGACAUUUGCGUCCUUUUGCAAAGAUACGGAAGAUAAUGGAACCCCUUCCAGGCAAUGAAUCUCAAGAAGAGGAAAAGUAAUAAAGGGGUUUUUCACUUCUUCCACACGGCUGUCUAAUCGUUGCAAGGAGCAGUUUUCGUGGAAAGUAGCGAGACUCCCACGAGGGCACACUUUGACUGACAUUCAAGAUUCGUUGAAUUAGGAAUUAAUUUUAACCCAAAAAGCCGUACAUUGAUGACAAAGUCCACAACACAACUCCCCUUGUGGUGCUCAACAGCUUCUCCGGUUAAGGGAAGCACCUGAAGCUUAUGACACAGAUGCCGCAAUAUAUCUUUUCACUCCCGUAGACCCAAAACGUCCACCAAAGUCCAGGAAACGCCCUGCUUUUGAACCCAUAUCUAGGGGAAAACACUCCAAGAAAAGAAAACUCUACGAAGGGAAGCCCGGAAUGACCGAAAUGAAGCAAAAAAACAUUCAAAACUUUAUCCGGGAAGACAGGAAAGAGUUGAAAAGUUAAGAAGUCCAAGAAGUCCCGUAAAUAACUUUAUUUU
Molecule: long non-coding RNA, 1016 nt
Organism: Lutzomyia longipalpis
Lineage: Eukaryota; Metazoa; Arthropoda; Insecta; Diptera; Psychodidae
Exons: 3
Source: RefSeq, a predicted model, not a curated record